GUAAUAAAUUAAAGCGUAGUUCGGUACACUUGAGACCUACCUGUUCUUCGUUAGGUUUUCCAUGUGCAACAAAUUACAGGAACAUUUAUAUUAUAUUAGUUUGACAUAGACUGACAUAGAGGUUAACAUGGCUUUGUUGUCAUUAUAAGUAAAGUGUUACGUUUCAUAAAGUCAAGUGAUUUUUAUUAAUAUACUUAAUUAAAUUAAUAAAAGCAUGGCAUGUCCUUGAAUGGAUUAUUAUUUUAUUCAUCAAGUUAUAUGAACAUGUUAUUUUCAUUAAACGAUCAUACAAAGUGAAAGCUAUGGCUGGUGUCAUACAGGAGGUUAGAGAUCCUCUGUCCACGGACAGUAAAGGAUCUAUAAGUAUCAAAACGAUAUCUUAUGAAGAAAUUGCUAUUAAGCUUUUAAACGAAAAGCUUUUAUUAACGGCCUUAGAAUUACAUGCAGAGUUAUGUGAAGCUGGAAAAGAAUUACCUAUUUUAAGAGAAUUUUUUUCAAAUCCAAAUCAUUUUGAAAAUCAAAGUAUUAAGCCAGAACCAUAUACCACUAUGCCUAGAUCUUCUAGUCAGGCUACUUUGGAUUCACUUGAUAUGACAAGAUAUUCAGAAGAUGGUGCAGGUGUUGAUGAAAGAGUAGCAAUUUUAGAAUUUGAACUAAGAAAGGCUAGAGAAAGUAUUUCAGCUCUCCGUGCAAAUCUUACAGUAGUAACAGAAUCAGAAGGAACUAUAUCUGAUAAAUUCUCUGAUAAAUAUUUAUCUAAUGAAACCCCCAUAAAACCUCAUGAACAAAGAGCUAUAAAUUUUCUUGUUAACGAAUACUUGUUGGCAAGCUCUUACAAAUUAACAUCAAUUACAUUUAGUGAUGAAAAUGAAAAUCAAGAUUUUGAAGAUUGGCAAGAUGUAGGAUUAAAUAUUCCAAAACCAGCAGAAUUAUUACAAAUUUAUAGAGAAUAUAUGAGAGCAAAUGGAUAUGAUAAAUCAUCUUCUGUAAGUGUUGGUGUGCAAACUGAUUUCUGUGAACUAAAAUCAGAAACAGAAGCAGAAAAAGAUGAAUUUAAAGAAAUGGUAAAAAAAGUAGAGGAACUUAAACAACAGACUGCAUUAUUAGAACAGGAAAGAUUGGAUUUACAACAAUUUAUUGUCACUAGUGAAAAUUUAUCUCAAAAUCCAAUUAAACAAGGUAGUAGCGGAACAAUACAAACAAUAAAUUCAAAUUCUACUACUCCAGAUAAAUUUGAACUUCUUGAAACACCAGCUCGUGAUACAUCGACAGUUACUCAAGAAGUCGAAGAAGAUGAUAGCGUUUCUGUUGUUGUCAGUCUUGGCGAAACUGAUCCCGGAGAUAAAGAAUGGACUAGAAUACAAUUACCUAGAGUGGAUAUUAUUGAAGAAUCAUCCAUUCUUCCUAAUCCAUCAUCUAGACAUUUACCAUUAAAAUUCAAAAUGGAAGUAAUAGCACAUUGCUUAAUAAAUGUUUCAAGUUCUGCAAUUUCUACUGCGGAAGAAAUUUUCAAAAAUGGUAUAACACGUGAUACUCUCAUUCAAAUUUUAGCACAAACAUUACCUCGGAUUGUACCUAAUGUUAUUUUAAAUAAGCGCGAAGAAGUGAUACCAUUAAUAUUAAGCACAAUUCGACUUCAUAAUGAUUCUACAGAAAGAGAAAAAUUAUUACAAUUAUUAUUUAAUCUAAAGAAAAGGCCACAAGAAGAUGAAAGACAAUUGAUUUUAGCUGGUUUUGUUGCUAUGGCAAAACUUGAAGAUGAACCAAUGGAAGGUGAAGAAAUUUUGACUAUUUGUUGGGAACAAAGUCAACACAAAUAUCCUGAAAAAAGAUUAUUAGCUGUUGAGUGCUGUUCAGUAUUAGCUCCAUAUAUGUCAGUUUGCAUAAGAAAUUCUUUAAUGCUUUCUAUGCUUCAACAAAUGUUACUUGAAGAUAAAGAUCCUACAGUUAGGGCUAGUGUAGUGAGAAGUCUUGCAUUAUUGAUAGCUUUAAUGGAUGAUCCUGAUAAAUAUUUUCAGUGUGAAGAAUUAGCAUUAACAGCACUUCAUGAUAUAUCAUCUAUUGUUGUUGAAGUUGCAUCUUCCUUACUUUUACCAAUUUUAGCUCAAUGGGCGCUUUCUCUCAAAAGAUUACAGUCACAUCUAUUGCCACGUAUUAUAUCUAAAGUAAAAAAUCAUUUAAAAUCUUCAUAUCUUCAACAUUCAAAUAAAGAUCAUAUCGAUGAAGAAAGAAUAGUAUCAUCAAUUGGAGUAUUACAAUAUUUACUUCCACAUAUGGUUAUCUGUAUAGCAGAUACUGAUUCAGUUAGAACUUAUAUUGAACAUGGAAUAUCAUCUGAUUUACCUGAUGUGUUUGUGAAUUUGUGUCAUUCCAAUAUCGUUAAUCCAAAAGUAUUUUAUGAUGGUGAUGUGGAUAUAGGAAAUCUUCUAAAUGCGUUUUUUGCAAAUACAUGGGAAAAUGAUUCAUGGCCAGAAUUAGAUUGGUUUACAAACAAAUUAGUGUUGGAUAUUUUGGAAAUGGUAAAAUCUGUUGAAACUAAUCAAGAGACAAUUUUAAAUGCUCUUUUAAUGUAUAUUCAUUCUUUAUGUUUGGGUUUUGGACGAUAUAUCACACAAACACGGAUUCAACCAAUAAUUGCAUCUGAAAUAAUUGAACUUGAACAACAAUUAACGACUUUAUCAACUGAUAAAAAGAAUAUGAAUUUGACAUUAAUUCCAACAUAUUUAAUUAUAUUGUCCACUUUGAAUGGUAUAGAUGUUUCUAAAUCUUUAAAACAGUUCCUUGUUGUUUUAUCUAUGAGUGGCACCAAUAUUACUAGUUUACAGAUCGCAAUUAUUAUGUUAUGCGCUCAAGAAAAUAUGCAAGAACAUGUUCUUAGUGGUUUAUGGGAUGGGGUAGUACAUCAAAGACCUAUUGUAAGAUGCGCAACUGCAACAUUAUUUGGUUGUAUAAUAGCUCAUAUUUCCGAUCAGUUAGCAAGUGCUAAAGUAGUUCCUGCAAUUGUAACGCUCGUUAGUGAUCCUGAUAUAACUGUUCGAUCUGCUGCAAUUCCUUCUCUUGGUCGUUUAAUAACGGAAUGUAAAGUUAGAGAGAUCCGUGAUAAAGCACGUUUAACUUUAGAAACUAUUGCUAAAGAACCUCAUGGCAUUCCGCCAACUUUAGCACUUCCUUUGGUUUCAACAUUAGCAUUUAUUGCUCCUAAUUGCCCUCAAAAUUAUAUAGAAGAUGUUAUAGCAACGCAAUUAAUGGGCAUAACUUCAUCAGCAUUACAGCAAAGUCGUAAAAUUGAUCUCAUUAGUUCAUUAAUUGAAGCAUAUUCUGUCUUGGUUUAUUGUCCAUUGAAUAAUCAAUGUGUUUCUAGCGUGUUAUUGCCCGGAUUAAAGUAUCUCGAACAAUUGAUUAAUCAAUAUUUACCUCAACAAAAAGAAACAGUUAGAUCAUUAUUACGAGAAACAGAAUCACGACAGGAUCUUUCAAAACCAAUGGAGAGAUCUUUAUCAAUGAGUUCUGGCCUUUCUUUAUCAAUGGCUUCGGUAAACGUAGGACAAGGUGUAGAAGAUAUGAGACAGAGAGUGAGCAAAAUAUUUCAACAAAAAACUAGUUCACCAAGAAAGGAUCCAGCCAGAUUGGUUAAUGAUCGAAAGCGAUUGAAAUCGUUUCAAUAAUUGGCACGUACUUCCGAUGAAAGGGUUCAAUCCUGAUUCUCGUCUUACGAUGAUCGAAGGGAAGCCAGUUAUGUAGACAAUCCCUCCGUCCAUGAAGGUCGAAUGGGGUGCAACCACUAAGAUCGGCGCUUCCGCCCUCGUCGCCUGCCUUCCGCGCACAACGAUUCUCAUUCCUCCUGCUUGAAACCGGAAACGACGUGACGGAACAACGACUCCGAUCGAGAGAAAGAGAGAGAGAAAGAGAGAGCAAAAAUUUGGGAGGAAAAAAACCUACUUCCGAA
Molecule: RNA transcript, 3946 nt
Organism: Apis laboriosa (Himalayan honeybee)
Lineage: Eukaryota; Metazoa; Arthropoda; Insecta; Hymenoptera; Apidae
Gene name: RAB11-binding protein RELCH homolog
Exons: 19
Source: RefSeq, a predicted model, not a curated record